Small nuclear RNA from Ochotona curzoniae (black-lipped pika), 102 nucleotides. NCBI's taxonomy places the organism in Eukaryota, Metazoa, Chordata, Mammalia, Lagomorpha, Ochotonidae. The record is from RefSeq and is a predicted model, not a curated record.
UUGCUUUGGCAGCACAUAAUCUAAAACUGGAAAGACAAAGAGAAGAUUCACAUGGCCUUGAGCAAGGAUAACACACAAAUUCGUUAAGUGUUCCAUGCUAAA